UGCCAGCAGCCGCGGUAAUACGUAGGGUGCAAGCGUUAAUCGGAAUUACUGGGCGUAAAGCGUGCGCAGGCGGUUUUGUAAGCCCAGUGGUGAAAUCCCCGGGCUCAACCUGGGAACUGCCAUUGUGACUGCAAGGCUAGAGUGYGGCAGAGGGGGAUGGAAUUCCGUGUGYAGCAGUGAAAUGCBUAAAUWUGCGGAGGAACACCGAUGGCUGAAGGCAAUCCUCUGGGC
This 231-nucleotide ribosomal RNA is filed under the name uncultured bacterium. RNAcentral describes it as "partial 16S ribosomal RNA". It matches the Rfam family "Bacterial small subunit ribosomal RNA", at positions 506 to 734 of the family's 1533-position model. The record is from RNAcentral.